CGGUUUGGUUGUUAAGGAAGGUUGUAAAAUUACCAUUUCAGACCCGCUUCGUUUAAUGCAACUUUUUACUUCAACGGCGUGAUGAAGGGCUAGAGCGUAAUCUGCCACCGAAAAUUAAAAUAAAACGUUGGUUUUUUAUGGAUAUUUGUGAAAAGUUUAUGAACGUUUUAUUAUUUUCUUACAUUAGGGAAAUCUUGUUUUUUUUUUUUUUUUUUUUGUAUUUUCUAUAGAUUUUUCCACGAAAAUAUCAAUUUAUCUUUUAUAUUAAACUUAAAAAUAUGGAUGAAAAUAUGAAAAUGUCAAUAGAAAUUUAAUAUUAUGGGCUUAGCUUAGGUUUCAAUUUCUCGAGUAAAAAAAUCAUGUUUUUCUCAUUAAUAUAAAAUCUAUACCUUUUUAACCAUUUUUUUUUUUAAUUUUCACCAACCUUUUAUAGUGGUUAAGCAAAUACUUUUAAUUUCGUUCUCAAUUUUUUAACCUAAAGCAACGAGUCUCACUCUUUGUUCAUUGUUCAUUAGAAAAUCAGAAACGUACCUACAUAAGUAAAAGAAUCACGGUUAAAGAUUAAGGACAACACAUUACUAAGACCACCCAGGUUAAAAUAACAACUUUUCAAGGAAUUACUACUACCCUCCCUUAAGAAUUGGAUGUUCAAAAUGUUCAGAUCAAUGACAUAUAAUGCAUACAAUAAAUGAGAGAGAAAGAAGAGCUGAUGUACUAAAACAAAUAGAAUAAAUUAUCUGCUUCUUCAGGAACAUCAAUAUGCACUCUCACUAACAACAGGAUGUACAAUUGACUAUAUGUGUAAAAAGCUGAACUGAACAAACCCAGGUUUGUAUAAAUCAAAUCCCAUAAGUUAAAAAGAAGAAAAUAGAAGGGUAACCGUAAUCUAACUCCUUAAUCCUUCCUUACCAGUAAUAGCCACUUUUCAUCUAUGACACGAACCGAUGCAGAAGCUAUGUACAUGAUUUAAUGCUUGAGAUCGAACUCGGUGAAGAAUUCAUGUUAAGAUCAAACCAACAUCAAUCUUUGACAGUCACCUUCUUGUUUUUGUUUCGGUUGCUUGUAUUUGCUGUGGUGGUGGCUGUGAUCCCCCACCAAGUGCAGCGGCUGCAGACUCGACGUGCAUGAGAAGAUAUUCAUAGAUCUUCUUCCUCAGCCUGUCGAUUGUUUCAGUUGAAAUGUGAGUGGUGUCUCCUUCGUCCUUGUUAGAAGCUAUGCCAUCUAACCAGUCGUUUACACUCUUCAGCUGUGUCAAUAUUCCUGCUAAUUGUCCAUUAUCUGACAAGGCUGCGGUGUCGACCCCGGCAUCCAAAAACCUUUCCAUGAAUGUCAAGAACCAGUCCUGGGAUUGCAGCCGUAACAUCUCGGCCAAGUCGACUGCUUCGUUGAGGCCGUUUCCUCUGAUCCAUUCUGGUGGAGGUUGGGGCUGCACCUUCUGACCGAGUGUCGCUCCGUCCUUCGUUCGACUUGGAUUUCCUGAUCCAAUAGGUUUAGAGCUUAUCAUUUGGCGGAUUUUCCCUUGGGAUUUUGACGAGCUGUUCUUAGAUGAGUUUUCUAAAACCACAAUAGGCUGAUUUGCAGAAGCACUCUUUUGGUUUUGAGAUAGAGAUAAGGGCAGGUUUAGAGCCGAGGGUGGAUCACGGCUGUAUACUGCAAAAGAUGAAAGGUUAGUGGCUAAAGCCGCCUGGACCCAAGCAGAUGCCUGUUUUCUCGCCAUUGAUGUGACCUUCAAUGUUUCUUCUGAAGCGGUUUCUUCGCUCUCAUUGGUUGAACCAGAGAGACAAGUUUUCGAAAGAGAUUCAGCUACCAUGUGAGCAUUGGUAAGGCUCGCAUGAAGGGUCAAAAACUGUUCUACUGCAGGCUGUGGAUUGUCUUCUUUGGCAGCAGUAUUUAACUCGGAAAAUAUACUGCAAAAGAAAGAACGUAAGCCAACAGAAGAGUGUUCCAACAAAAUAAAAUAAAAUAAAACUGAACACAGCUGAAAUCAUGGAGAAAACUUAAGAUAAAAUCAGUGGGAAAGUAUCUAAUUUUCAAGCACCUGACUAAUUGCUUACAAUCAGACCCAUCCAUCUACCGGAACUUUUCUUCUUAUUGAAAAAAUACAAGGAGAUGGACACAUACAACAUGUCCGGCCAAGAAACCGAGCAUGCAUUGAAAAGAAGUUCUUAAGUUAAACCAUAUGACAAUGCUCAGCAUCUGGAUGUGACUUUUUUACCAAUACUUAUCUACUUCCUUCCCCCCCCCAAAAAAAAAAUAAUUAGGAAUUGUUAGUGCUAUAACUUGGGACAUGCUCUUUGGGUCAGAACUUGAAAGUUAUUGACGCAUUGCUCUAACUAUGAAAUUUAAUCAGAGACCAAAGACCAAACAACUUCAGAUCAACAUAACCAUGUAGUUGGUAAAAAUGAUAUUUAGGAGCCUUUGGCCCCAGCCAGCAUUCACCACCCCACUAUUGUUGCCAUCGGCAUUGCUAACUGACAGUGGUUGCUUCCACCUUCUGACAACUAAUUAUAAAGAAAUAUCUUUCCAUAGUUUUCCACAUCCAUUUCUUGGGUAAAGAAAGUAAAAAUUACACACAAUUUCCAUCCAUUUCUAGUGGAAGUAUUUCCAAUAUUAAAAAAAUUGACAUUUAGAUAUCAGUAUACAAUCAGAAUAGAAAAAAUUGAAAAGCGUAAGACAAAAUAAAAUUUUAAAGCUUUUGUAACCACUAACCAUAUAAGACUCCUUUGAAUUUAUUCAUUAGUAUUACUAACCAGAUAGAACUCCUUUGAAUUUAAUCAGUCAUUCAUUAUUGUUAUAAUUAUUUUUAAGAAACCGACUUUCAUGGAGAGAAAUAAAAGAAUAUAUGAGGACAUACAAAAAACAAGUCCAGAAAAGGGGUCCACAUACUAAUUACAGAAACGGACUCCAAACCAAGAAGAUCAAAGCAAGUUCAUAAUUAAUAAAAUGUUGGGUAAUAGACACCCAUAAUGAUGCAUCCUAUGGGACUGAAAGUAAUUUUUAAGACAGGAAACCAAGUCAAAGUUAAUUGCAAUUCACGCUUAAUAUGUCCAAACAAGAAAUAAGUCCAACUUCAGUCACCAGAAAGAUAUUGCGGUUAAUUUCAUGUAUUUUCGUGCCUCAUUCUAUAAAAAACAAAUAUUUACUCUUAAAAAUGAAGUAAUGGGGAGAAGAACCAUACAGACUCAUUAGAGCAAGAGCUCCAACUGAAGGUGAAAAAAAAACUAUAUUACCCAAAAGCUCUCUAUAAACGCUGGUAAGUUCUUCAAAUCCUUUCUAACCAAACGUCCUAUAAAUACCACUGCAGCUUUCAGCAAAAGAACUUUAGCUUGCAUUUCUACAAUAGAACUACAGAUCAGAAAGAGAUACAAGUCUUGCACUGGGUAAGCUUUCAUACCUUAAACAUCGUAGACAGCUCUCUGCCACUGAAGCUUCUUGAAUGGCCUCUAUUGCUGCUGCUUGUGCAGCAUCUCUGUGUCUCAUUACUUCCUAUAGCGGCAGAUACAGAAGAACAAUGGGACGGAAUAAGACAAACAGAAGACAUAAAGUAACACUUGCCAAUACUUUGAAAUGCAAAAGGAGAUCCUCCCCCUCCUCCUUCUUCUACUAUUUUUCAUUUUUUUCUUGUAUAAGAAACUAAGUUUUCAUUAAGAGAAAUGAGAGGAUUUUUCUAGAUUCUGAAAUAAUGGUUGCGCUAUAUUGCAGAAAUGUUUCUAGUUGCAAUUUGUACUAAGUUGCUUAUACAUUGCCAUACUCCUCUACUAGGGGUGUCAUUGGAUAUAGAGGAGCUUUAAAUUUCAGACAUGGCUUUUGUGCUUAAUUUAUUGACACUUUCAAUUUUAAGAAAGAAAGGGAAAAUAUGCUGCAGCAUCAACAAUGUGCAAUAGAGUCAAAAUUUUGAGAAAAUAAGUGAUUAAUACAAAAAGAGAAUAAAUAAAGCUCAUAUAAACUCCCAAAACUAUCUAUUUGGCAGAAGAGUAACUACCAGUUAAACGAGAUAUAUUUGGUUAUCAAAUAUCAGAUCAAAGGUUCCAUACCUUUCCAAGCUUGGCGAGAGAUGAUGGAAGCGAAGCCCAUGAAACACUCCCUUCAUUCAAUCUUUUAUUACUAAGAGGAAUCUUCACCAAGUUUCCGGGGAAUCCAGCUGCAUCACUUGAGGAGGAUUUCCUUCCACUAGAAGAUUUUUGUCUGCUUGACCUUUCCUGAUUAUCUAAUUCUCCAUUAAUGGCAUUCUUCUUUGAAGACGCCUGCACGCUAUGAUCAUCUUUGGAUGUCUUUCCAGGUACCUGAAUCCUACUCUCCUCUCUUGAUGGCAACUUGUCACUUGAUGUACUUCUUCUAGGAGUCUGAAAAAUAUAAAUAAGUUAUUGACAUACAUAAGAGAAAGGAGAAUAGGUUGAGAGGUAAACUCUGGUGAACAAAUUAACAGUAGGACCGGUCCAACAAAGUAAUAUGUUCAUUUGCUCUUUAUAGAAGAAAUACAAUACUAUACAAAAAAGAACAAUAAGGCAGUAGAUUUAGUAGGAUCUUUUAAGCUCAUCCACGUUAAGGAUUUGAAUUACACGCAUCAUUUUGCUAUUCAAAUACCUCAAAGGGGAUUCAUGGUUACAACUUACAAGCAUAAAUGUAUGUAUAUGACAUUUUAGCAGGACAAAUAAAUAUUUGCCACGUAAAUACAAAUCAAAUCCGGAACAUACGAUCAUAUUGGGAAUGAUAAAACUUACAGUAACCCGAGCUUCAGGCUUGGGAUCAAGUUUGCUUGCUCUUAACAUUGAAUUAUCUCUUCUUUUUGUCUCCAUAUUCCCUUCCCAACUCUUCCUCAGAGCCUUGGCCCCAACCUCAAUGCCCUGAACUAAAUGUUUGAUCUGAUGUCCCACUCCCAUCUUCUUGGUUACAGGACUGGCUGAACGAACAGGAUUCGACUUUUCAACUGCUCCUAACUUGGUUGUUCCAUUAGACAAUGCCUUAACCUUCCCCUGCUGCUUAAUGCUAUUGGCAAACUUCUCAAAUGAAGAAGGCAACGAAUAACAGCUCGUUGGAGAUGAGGGUAUCGACCGUGAAUUCAAUGACUUUAGUCUCGUCAGAGGCUCCUUCUUCACAUCUACAUUCACUGUCAAUUUUGACAUCUGAGACUUGGAUCUACUCAAGGGAGAGGCUCUCUUAUCAAUCUUAUCCUCCUUGACAUUGCCAUUGAGUCUCACAGGCGCAGAUUUCUCCUUCUCCCCACCAAUGCCAAGGCCUAAAACUUUUGGGGUCGGCUUCAAUUUGUCCAAAGAUUUUAAAUUAGGAUUAUUGUUGAGAAACCCAGGAGAAUGAGUAGCAACAAUAUCUUCAGGGCUCCCCACACAAGGGUGUCGACCGGGCACCGGUCGAACUCCGUGAAGAAUGGGGACUGGGGAAGCAGCCUCAAGCCGUUCGACAUGAAUAAACUGACCCAAUUGAAUCUUGUCACUAAGAAUCAGAUCACCAUGUUCAUCAGGGAGUGAGACAUAUGUAGCAUGAGAAGAAUCAGAGACUUUGAGAUAAAAACCUUGAUUCGGUGAGAGAUCGCCCCCGGCCAAUGCCGGAACUAUGCUCACAACUUGUAACAGUGUCGACCUGUGCUCUCCAGCAACUUUCACAUCAGUGUUCAUGUGCUGCAGCAGUUUGAGAAGCACUCCAGGAACAAGAUUCGCCAUUGUUGGACACCUUCAGAAGGCAUCACUCUGAAAACCAAGCAGUAUUUAAAGAAGACCCCAGAAAUCUCAACCCUUUCUUCAAGAAAAAUGAAGAAGAGAGAGAAAGAAGGAAGAGUUUCUUCUACCAACGGCAAUGGCGAAAUGUGGGGAUCCAAAUCAAAAUAAGGAGAAAUUGCAAAAAUAGAAAAAUGGGGGAUACCCUUUAAACCCAGAUUAAAAUCUUUACCAAAUAUAAAUUCAAUCAAACAAAACUCCAGCAAGGAAAAUGCAUAGUACAGGAUUCAGAUUUGGUAGUUUUCACCAAUUGCUACCUCAAAAAUGAACACACAGUUCAUUUCAAAUCAGGAGAAAAACAAGAAAACCCCAAACGAGAUUCCUCUUAGAAGAAAAAAUGAUUCUCAAAAAUCGAUGAAGAAGCAAUAGAAAGAAAGAGGGGUACAGCUAUGAAUAGAACAGGGAAAAACAAGAAAACUCACCAACCCAGAUGAGAAAAUGACUUACACAUACAAACCCAUUAACAUUUUACACUAAAAGACACAAACAAAUACUCCACUUCUCUGCAAAAACACCAUGGAAAAGGGAAAAAAAAAAAAAAAAAAAGCAAAAGAAAAAUUGGGAAUUUCUUGAGGAAUUUAAACCCCCCUUUUUUAAAAAAAGAACAAGAGUAGCUGUGUGAAGAGGUUUAGACAAAGAACAUGGGGUGUAGGGAUGGUGAGAAAUUGAGAAAUGAAAUGGAAAUGGAAAAUCUUACAGAGAAAUCAGAAAAGUAGAGAAAGAAUAAAUGAUAGCAGGCUCAAUACAUGAUUAAGUAGAGAAGCUGUCAGUGUCUGACACCCACCAUAUACAUACAAAUUACAACAUGCAAAGUAUAAAGAUUUUACACAAAUGUUAAUCUGACCCAUUAUUGUUUUCUUCCCUUCCAUUUCUAAUGGGGGAAAUCUUAUUUUUCAAUUUUCUUCACAAAUUUGGUGUCUAAAGUUGAGUACUUACAACAUUAGUAUCCAUUUUAGCCUAGCUUCAGUUUGAUUUAGUAAUCUCAAAUCAUUUUAAAAUAGAUAGUUUUUGGCAAUGUAAAUAUAGUUCUACCGAUAAAGUAUUAAAUAUCGUCUUAAUUAUCUAAGAUUUUAUCUUUUACUUCGUGAUUAUUAAACUAAAAAGAAAGAUAGCUUUGUUUAGAAAAUGUAAGUGUCAAAUUAAUCUAUAAAGGACUAACGAUUUUAUAAGUUAAAAGAUAUAAAGUCUCUCCUCCAAUAUAAACUCCUAUAUUAUAUGUUUGAUAAAUCUCCCACUAUUAAUGUUAUAUUUUUAUUAUUGAAGAAAAAGUAUUUAACAAGUUUCGAAUUAAAUUUUAUAUAGAAUACAUACUAGAAAUAUAAAAGGAGUAUAACGAGUAUAAUAAGUUGUUGAAAUUUAAAAAGAGUAUAAUAUGUUUUUUUUUUUUACAUCUAAACAUCUCGCCUAUUCAAUAUACAAACUAUUAAACAUUAUAAUCUAUUAAAUAUACAUUUCAACCAACACUUAAAAUAAAUAAAAAGAAAAUCUCAUACGUAGGAAAAAGAAGUGAAACUAUUUUAAAAUUAUAGCAAAAGAAAAUACUUAAACGAAACACUCGAUCACACUCGUCUGGCUCUACAAUCAAUUGAACUUAUAAUCUUUUAUUUAUUAUUAAGACUACGUCUCCUUUUUUACCAUUGGGUCAAACCAUGAUAUGAUAGUAGUUGUACGAUAUUUAUCAAAAAAGUUAUUUAGUUUAGUGGUUGUUAGUAUAUAUAUAUAUGUGUGUGUAUAUCAUAAAUGGACUUUUCAAUGGUCUAUUAUUAGUACAAAUAAGACUUACUAAUGAAAUAAUAAACAUAAAAAGUAGUUGAUGACGUAGAAAGGAAAGAACCUAACAUUGAUAGGGAGAAAAAAAAAUCGUUUGCUACACUGCAACAACUUUGACUUUAGAUGUUAGUUUUGACCUGAAAUCGUUAUGGAUUACAAAUUCACAUCGUAUAAUACAAUUUCAAAGGAUCUUUGAUGACAGUUUUAAACCACCAUCGAGAUUUUCAACAUUAUAUAAAUAACGGUUGUGUAUGAUAAUGCUGUUAUUAUUGAUACUUCAACUUCUAAAUUAAACAUAUGCUCUUAAUUUCUGUUUUAAGUGCCAAAGAGAAAAAAAAGCUCAAACAUACUAUUCUUACCUAAACACUUGACAACAAAUUGUUACCUAUCAAUUAAUCACUUUUCUUACACUUUAACAUUAAAUGUUACCCAUAAGAUUGUGUAAAAAAAAGAAUAAUGGAAGAGGGAGAAAGGGAUUAUUCCUUUGGACAACUUAACCUAAAUUAGGUCUUUCUAAAUUAUUGUAUUUAAAUUAACUUUUUUUUCUCCUUUUUGUUGGAUAUUCUUAAAUUAUAAUCUUUUUUUUUUUUAAUCUUAACACACAAUCAAUAAAAUUGAUUAUACUCAAAUCAUUAUUCUCUCUUUUACCUAUUAAACAUCAAUCAAUUAAUAACUUGAAGUUUAAAAUUUUCUUACUAAUUCUACAAUAUUCUAUAAAUAUAUCUCAAUGUUUAAUCUUAAUUCUAAAUGGAAUUGAUUUUUUCAAAAGAAAGAGAAUUGAUUUAAUGCUAAUUGUUAUAAAUUUCUUGAAAAUCAAUUAUUAGCAAUUAUUUAUUUAUUUACCAAAUAUAUUGUCCACCAAUAAUAAUCUCUUGAGAUUGUAGUAGUUUAAAUGUCAACUUUCAAAACAAAUAUAAAUCCAAAUUCUUAGCAUAAUUAUUAACCAAAAAUGAAUGAUUAGAAAUAUAUUAUUAUUAUUAUUUCAAUUUCUAAUGUUUCUAAUUCUUAAAUUUUUGGAGUUCCUUAACCUCUCUUCCUCGACCACUCGACCAGAGAGGAUAACUCUUACCGACUAUAUUAAUUGUAGAGUCAUAUCCAACAAAUAUCAUAUGUAUCCUUACGAGUCGAGCGCCAAUCUUUCUAAAACUGAGAAUGUAACUCUUUUUUUUUUAAUCGUCAUAAUCUUUACCCACGAAGGAAGAUUGUGUUGUCUACUAAAAAGUUGAUUACUAUGUUGGGUGCCUUCUACUCGUAACAAGGGAAGAUUUGUUAGCUUAAUGAAGUUUUUCUUAUAUAUGUAAAAAAAAAUCUUUAUUAAAUUUGGUAUUUGUUUUCAUUUUAUCAUUAAGCGCCAAAAAUAUCUAUUCAUAGACCAAAAGAUUAAGAAAAGUAACAAAUUUUGAUUAAUGACAACGCUUUUCUAUUAAUUAUUGUUAUCAUCAAGCAAUAUAUGCUCUUAUCCUAUCAACGAAGGCAUAUGACAAAACUAUAUAGAUUUGUAGAAGUAAACAUUUUAUGAAGAUAUUAGUUGACAAAAUAGCCAUCGCCACUUAAACAAUCCUUACUACGUUCAAAUUUACUUUUUGUAUAUUAUUUCAAAUGAAGAAAAAAAAGAAAUUACUCCUUACAUUUUCCUUAAAUUUUAAAUUUCUCAAAUUUAUAUAAAAAAGUAAAUUAUAAUAUUCACACGUCCUAGAAAAAUCAAGCAUAAUAAAAUUUAUUAUUUUAGUAGUUUUUUUUUCGUGGAGUGUAAAUAGUUGUUACGAAUAAUUUAAGAUUAGUAAGAUAAAGUAGAGUGUUAUUAUUGGAAUAAUAUUUGAUUGGAUGGAGAAAAGAAAAAGGUGUGAAUGAUUAUUUAAUUGACAUUGGUAUUUGAGUAUUUUGCAUAUGGAGGCAUGUGCUAUAGUUGUUAGAGAGAAAUAGAUAAUAGGAAUAAAGAAAAGGAAAUAUUGGUGUCGGCUAAGAAGCAAAAGAGAGUCAUAUUCCCACUAUAUGUAUAUCACAUUGAGAAUUGCAUUUACAAACGCAUAUAACUAAACACACCCUUAUUCAUAUUGUUUGUAUUCAAUUGUUGUUUAUAUUAAAAUGAGUCUGAAAAAGCCAAGUGGCCAACUCAUAUGCUUCUCUUCUUCUUCUUCUUCUUCUUCUUCUUCUUCUUUAUCCUUUCACAAACUUCACUUCUUUUCUUUUAUUUGUGUAAAGGCCACAAAGGUCAUAUGCUCACCACAUCCAAACAUGUGGUGCAUCUAUUGGUGGACCCAUUCUCAACCAGCUUCUUUCACAUAAACUCUUUUCUUCUUCUUCUUCUUUUUUCUUUAACUUCUAGUUUCGGAAACGAAUUAGGAUUCGGAAUUCUAAUUUCACAGUUCACAACUAUCUAUAGUAGUUCUAUGCAACUCCUACUGACUAUGCUGUUCUUACUUGUUUUGAAUACUUUUUGUAAAAGUGAAAAUUGUUGAAUUAGGAUUUCAAGUCUUGAUUUGAAUCUUAGACAUGUGACGUUACAAAUGGUAUAACAGUGAAUCUUCUUCUAGUAAGAUGUGGUUUGGGGACGAACCAAGUAGAAGCUGAAUUUAGGAGCAAACAUAAACAAACCGAUAAUACGUUUGAAUGAGAAAGAUCAUGAGAAACAUGAAAGUAUGGUUAAGAAACACUUAAAAGAAAUAAACUAUACCAACAUGUAACUAGGUUGCACGAGAACGUUGAGUCGUCAGUUGUCGAAUUAAGAUUUUGAAUCCUAGGCCCUUUUUUACCUUCCAAUUUUAUUUAAUAUCCUUCCGUUGCAAACAAAUCUUUGGGACAACAAAAAAAGUAGGUGAAAGAGGUGUUGAGAAACGAAAUGAUGACGACAGUAAAAAAACAAAACAUAGUAAGAAUAAAGAAUACACCUUAAUAAUUCGUCUUGUAUUAUUACGUAAACUAUAUAGAAAGUUAAACGAAAGAGCAUUUAUGUUAAAAAAAAAAAACUAAACCGUAUUUGUAUUUGUAUUCGUAUUUAAAGUAAAAGAAUGUAACAUUGAAAAACGAGAAGUGAAGAAAUAAUUAAUUAAAACAAAACAUAUAUAAGCAUAAAGUGUUUCCUCUAAAAUAACAAUAACAGGAGCAAGGUCAAAGAACACAACAACAGAAAAAAAAAAGAAAAAAAGGGCAAUAAAUAUUAAGAAAACAUUGGAUUAAAAAAAUUGAUGUGACAAUGCAUCUAAAAUUUUCACAUAUUUAAACAAAUUAAAAGAACAACUCAUUAAAAGCCAUUUUGUUAAUGGCACAUCUUUAUGGUUACCACUUAAUUAACACAUUCAACACAUUAUUAAAGUGAUAUGAAAAAGUAUCGUAAGAUUUUAAUGUAAUAACUUAUUAUUCUAUAAUUAAUAAGAGUAUUUUAUUUCUAAUAAUAUAUUAGUAUUAUAUGAUACUUGAAAAAUAGGAAUAUUAAAGAGAAGUAUUAGAUGAGUUUAGAAUUAUAUAUUUUGAAUGUAAAGGAAUAUUACUCAUAAAGAAAGUAAAAAAAGAAAAUAAUUGAAAUAGAAAAGAAAAGAAAAAAAAAUGAAAAGAAAGGGUUAGUUAAGAAAAGGGACCCACUGUACUUUAAAUGUCAGGUGUAGCUGCCUCCUUCUGUGGACCCGCACACACACGAUUGAACCCUUCAUUUAUUCUAUUUUACAAUUUUACAACUUUUUCUAUUUUUCUAAUUUUAGAGAUGCACGAUUCCAAUUAUCAUUAUUAAUUCUUUUCCAACCAUUACUUUUUUCUAUCUCAUAAAUAAACAAUGUUCCAAAAAAUAACAUUCAUAAACAAUCAAUAUUAUUAUUGAGGAUUGGGCUAAAAGAAGAAAAAUAGCUAUUAUUUAUUAUUGCUUCUCUUCCUCCACAAACUUGAAAUAAAAAGGAAGUUGAUAGUUUGAACAUGAAAUUGUUUGAUUUCCAUAUUCAAAGUUGUUGAAAAAGAAGGUUCAUGUUCAUAUUGACAAGAAACACAAGUGAAACAAAUGAAACGAAGAAGGCACCGUCAAUUUUGAGGGGAAAAAAAAAUGCUAUUUUGAGGUAUUUUCUCUUCAUUUGGUGGGUGUUGUUUUAGAGUUUAGAUUGGAUUGUUACCUUUGAGACUACCUCAACAAUUUAGUUAACAAUAGAUAGAAGGAAAGCUUGGAGAAUGUUGUUAACAAUAGAUAAAUCCUUCUUUUAAAUUGAGAUCUAAAACUGAUGACUCCUACAUUCUCACUCAUAUCUAGAGGUAUUUCAACAAACUUGGUUCUCACUCACAUGUUUAUGUUUUCAAAAGAAGGUAAAAAAUAUUUGAAAAGGUGAGCAAACUAGGAUUGCUUGAAGACAAAUCCACUCAACAUUGGAGUUCCUAUUACCCAAGAGUUGCACCAUGGUCGAACGUUUAAAUCUCCCCACCAUUGGACUAAAAAAAAAAAUUGUUUCAAAAACUAAACGAGGAAUAAAAGGGUGCAUGAAGAAAUUUUCCUUUUGUUGAAGAUAUAUUUGGUGAAACAUCAACUGCAUAGAUGAAAAACUCUGACAUCCAAUCUCUACCCGAAAAUGAAGAUAGUGUGUGGAUUACUACAAGCUCAAAAAUGAAAUUUAAACAUAUGCUAAAUAGUUGGAAAAAAAAAACUAGUCCUCAUCCCUGUGAUCACGAGAAAACUUCAACCAUUCUUUCACAGAUCUUGUACACUCAAACCUGCAAAAGUUGAGAAGUAAAUGUCAGGUUUCGCUGUCAAUAUCAAUUUAUACUCGGGACCAAACCCAUCCUCAUCCCAUUUUACAAAACUUAUUGAGGAAAGGAUUAUAGAGACCUUUUUGUUGAAAAAGGUGACCAUAAACAAAAACAAAGACAGGUGUUUUUAUGUAUACAGAACCCGCCUUUCAAUGAAAAGACAUGGAAGAACACACCAUGAUCCAGAAUACUGACCCACAAAAGGUAACGCGACAGAAGGAAAGGGUGUCAGGCUGUCAGCAAAGCAGAGAAACCUAAAGAAUAAUUACGAAAGACUAGACCAAACUCACAUCUCUACAAGAUAUGAUCCAACUCUUCCUCCAAUUUCUGACGAAGGUUGAUAAAAAAACAGGGCAAUAAGAAGACAACUUCCUCGAAAGCCUAUCAAGAGCAUUAACUUUUCAACGGAUAUCCUACUAGAUAAAGAACGUGACCUUUUAGGUAUGGUCCCAUCCAAUCAAAGAUAAGAGAGCCAUGAAAUUCGUUGGUUCCCAGUUCAACAAAUUACGACCCAACCCAAGUAAAAGAGAGUAGACCACUCAGAAAACACCACAGCAAUUUAGCCAAUAGGCUUUGUUUCUAGCUUUUAAAAUAUCUAAUUCUAAACCCCAGGCUCGCUAGUUUUCCCACAUUAACUACUUGCCACAAAAAAAUCCCUCAAGAAGCAAGUCUUUUAUGCAUCGAAUCCACCACACAAGGUCCCAAGACGGGAGGUUUCUUGGGUCAUAAUCUAAGGAAAAACAAACAUGGGAGGAAGGGAGAUAACCAACCUCACAGCCCACUAGUCAGAAAUCUCUGAUCUCUAAACUCCUAAAAAGUCUAAACGUCCUCUCAAGUCAAAUCCCCCAAAGAAAGGUGCGUUUUAGGGACAAACACUCACCCAAAUGAUUUUGCCCGUCUACAGAGUCAUCGAAAGCAAUUUAUUUUUAUAGCUAAGCAGAUUGAGACUAAGUAAGUGCAACAGAGAUACGCAAAUUUUUGUCACGAAACGUAUGCGAGGAAGUAAGAUGAAAAUGCGAAGUUGUAGGAAAAAAAAUUCACUAGGGAGAGAUUAGUGAGAAGGUCUAUUAAUACUAAUAGAGAAUUUAGUAAAAGAAAAGGUGCGUUUUAGGAGAUUAAAGUCAAGUUCCUUUCAGUCAAAAUCAGAUGAUGGAAGCACAUGUGAGCGCUGAUAGUCGCCACAAACAAAAAAUGGAACACUUCUAAUCUAUCAAACCAUUUAAAAACACUUAAACAACAUACAUAGCCACUUCCAAUAUAGCGUUCCAAUGUUUGUUAUUAAGAGUGAAACCUAACCUGGUGGAAGGGAUUGCUUCAACUUGUCUGCCUUCUCAGAGUCGAAAACACAAAGAGUAUAAAGAUAUUUGGAGCAUCGAACUUUGAACUUCACAACAUCCUUGCUCCUCUUAAUUUUCACAGAACGAGCAUCCUUCCUUCUAGCAGUGAGAAGGAAAUCUUUGAUCUCAUGAAUUUGUUUCGGCUGCAAAUCCAAAUAUGGAACAAGAAGACACAAUUUGAUUAAUUUCAAAAUAACCUAAAGCAUAAGAUAUCCAAACGAGAUGAAAACAUGUACAUUACGGUUAUUAAAUCCGCAUAAACGUUUACCAACAAAAACACAAGAAACCCAUAGAAUUGCAACGAGAAUAGAAAAUUAAAUGAUGAUAUGCACCCUCACAACGUUCAACUAAAUAGAACAGAAGCUAAUUCAGGGCAGAUAAAAAAUCGGCGACAGCAAACAUAAGAAUUCAAAAGUAGGUUGAAUCCGAAAUGCAUUAAGAAAAUGAACAAUAGAAAAAAAAUUCAAUCAAGGAUUAGAAAUUGAGAGGUACCAUUUUGGUGGCAGAACAGAGACUGCCGCGUAGUUGCUGAUUAUGGAGGGUCAAAACCCUAACUUUGAAAGUUGUUAUUUAUGUAGGGAUUCAAUGGGAAACGAAGAAGAAGAUGAAGCUGGCUUGUUCCGAACCCUAGAUGGGCCGAGAAUUCAAUUAAGCCCAAUCUAAGAAGGCCCAUUUACCCAUUUUAUUGAAAAGAAACACGAAAUUAAAUAAACUUAAUUGUUAUCAUAAAAAAUAGUUAAAUAAUACAUAAUGAACGACGUCGUUCAAAGGUUUGAGAACAACAUAUUAAUAAAAACCAAAUAAUAUUUCAUGUGUGUAUAUCAAAGUAAGGUUAUUAUAAAAAAAAUGUAGCUAAUAAAUACACUUGUUUUUCAUAUAUUUUGUGAAAUCUUCUACUUGUUCUUUAUUUUCUAUAUGUCAUCUCUUAGUUUUUUCCUCACAGAGUAAUUUAAAAUUUAAUGUUACGUUCAAUUUUGUUAAAAUAAUUUUCCUCUACCUUUUUUUCUCUAAUACCCUAUACAUUUUAUAAAAUAUAAACGUUAUAUUUUAUUUUACUCAAUAACAAUUAAAAUUAUAAAGGAAAAUAUGUCAUUAUCUUUAUCUCUGUUAUUACUCUUAAACUUUUUGUCCAAUAUAUUUUAAUAUAUAUACAUGAAAAAUGAAUUUCGUGUUUCAAAUACUAAUUAACAAAUAAAACACACAAAAGAUCAUUAUUCUUCUAUGUAACAAUUUAGGCAAUCAUUUAAUUAGGUCCUCCUUAACGUAAUAAACAAGGAAAUGUUUCAUUUUUGCUUCAGUUCAUUAGAAUUCCUUUUGAUAACCAUGGUUUUGGUUAAUAUGUUGAGAUCGUUGUAACACAUCCGUUAGCUGUUUUGGACGAGAUUCAAGAUGGUGCUCAAGAACUGGUGUGUGUUCAAGAAAUCAACAUCAAAAUCCAUUUACAUUAAACAAAGACAAGCAUUGAGGAGGAUAAGAGAUUUGCAAUAAGGUUACUCAAGGCCUAGCCAAAUCAAUCAAAAUCUUGAUAAUUUUCAAAUAAAAGCUUGGGUAGCCAUGAUUUUAGUGAAACAUCAACCCAUGUAAUAAACCCAGCAUAAG
This 15154-nucleotide long non-coding RNA is filed under the name Cucumis sativus (cucumber). RNAcentral's name for it is "long non-coding RNA (CSAT_LNC002220)". Lineage: Eukaryota; Viridiplantae; Streptophyta; Magnoliopsida; Cucurbitales; Cucurbitaceae. The record is from RNAcentral.